AUUUGGAGAGGAUGCUUUUGGCGCGGCGCCGUCCGAGUUCCUUGGAACAGGACGCCACAGAGGGUGAGAGCCCCGUACGGACGGACGCCUAACCUUUACAAAGCUCCUUCGACGAGUCGAGUAGUUUGGGAAUGCUGCUCAAAAUGGGAGGUAAAUUUCUUCUAAAGCUAAAUACCGGCCAGAGACCGAUAGCGCACAAGUAGAGUGAUCGAAAGAUGAAAAGCACUUUGAAAAGAGGGUUAAAAAGUACGUGAAAUUGUUGAAAGGGAAGCGCCUGUGACCAGACUUGCGCCCCGUGGACCAUCCGGCGUUCUCGCCGGUGCACUCUGCGGGGCGCAGGCCAGCAUCGGUUCUCCUAGGGGGAUAAAGGCCGCGGGAACGUAGCUCCUUCGGGAGUGUUAUAGCCCGUGGUGGCAUGCCCCUGGGGGGACCGAGGACCGCGCUUCGGCAAGGAUGCUGGCGUAAUGGUCACCAGCGACCCGUCUUGAAACACGGACCAAGGAGUCAAGCAUUGGGGCGAGUGUAUGGGUGCCAAACCCGCACGCGAAAUGAAAGUAAACGCAGGUGAGAGCUUCGGCGCAUCAUCGACCGAUCCUGAUGUCUUCGGAUGGAUUUGAGUAAGAGCCUUACCGCUUGGACCCGAAAGAUGGUGAACUAUGCCUGAAUAGGGUGAAGCCAGAGGAAACUCUGGUGGAGGCUCGCAGCGGUUCUGACGUGCAAAUCGAUCGUCAAAUUUGGGCAUGGGGGCGAAAGACUAAUCG
RNAcentral lists this ribosomal RNA (761 nucleotides) under Ophiostoma sp. PRO-2010a. RNAcentral describes it as "eukaryotic LSU rRNA". It matches the Rfam family "Eukaryotic large subunit ribosomal RNA", at positions 148 to 937 of the family's 3401-position model. The record is from RNAcentral. Lineage: Eukaryota; Fungi; Ascomycota; Sordariomycetes; Ophiostomatales; Ophiostomataceae.